UCGUUCGCGCGCGUACGUAUGGCUGUGGUCCGCUUUUAGUUUUUGGCGAAUGCUUUGAAGCUUCAAGUUGCGGACUCUGCGGUGGGCCAGGGCUUGAUGACAUUUGUUGCCCAGCUGCUGGUGCUACCGCGACGUACUUGGAGCAACGCUUCUGCUUAUUUCCUCUGCCUGCACCUUAUAUUUGUUGUGUUUAUCGAGACCUGGCCUGUCUCUGCCUCGUUGAAGACAAAUGGAAACAAGUACUGGUUGCUGUUGGUUUGUUUGGUUUGCUCAGUCUGAGCGUGCUGCAGAGCACUUGACCACUGCAGCAGUCAAGCAUGCUGUAUAUUGGGCAGUGCCAGGAAUUGCGAGAUCGAGACAGGCUGCCACUAGAAGUUCCUUGGGCCAGGUGAUAACUCAAAUACAUCCAGAUAUUUCUAUAUUUCACUAUAUAAACCUUUGUAGAAUGAGGAACUUUUCAAGGGUGAAGUUGUUUCACACAAAGGAAAACUGUUACUAAAUAGUGACCAGUUCCUUUUGUUUUGUAAGCCAGAUUGCAUGUAUUUGACAUUGCUUACUGACUCUUAAUUAUUCUCGCUGUCAAAUACAAGCAUAUGUACUCACAUAUGUUUUCAAACAAAACUAUUGUGUGGAGCCAUGUUUGUGGUGGAAUAAAAUUGGUCCCAAUACAGAGCUUUGUGGCACACCAGAUCUUACUAGCGAUCGCGGAGAAGAAAGUUAAUUAGUAGUUACAAAUUGGUACCGGUUAGUUAAAGGGACUUUAAAGCGAAACAAUAAAUCAAUUUAGACUAAUGCAGCAUUGUUUGAGAACCCUGCAGGCAGUCAUUUCAAAAAGAUAGUUUGAUUAAUAGAUGAGAAAAUGAAGUUCCAAGUAUCAGUAUUUGAAUUUCGUGCCGAAACCCGAGCGCCGGUAUGUCAGCGUGACGUCAGGGAUUCCAAAGUAUGUUUUCGCAUUUGGGCCGCGUUGGCUGAAUAAAGGUUCCCGAAACUUGGCAUGUUUAAUAUUUGGUUCCUUUAGAACACAAUGUAGUCAAUCUGUACCGCGAUAUAUAAUUAGUAGGCCCUAGAAGAUGUCAUCAAAAUCCAAGACGUCACAGCCCCUAGGUGCGGGAACUUAAGUAGGCGUCGCCACCCGUAUUUCGUUUUUGCGCUUUUUCUGGCUUACCAAACGUCUUAUCGAUGUAAGAGUGGUGUUUUUGGUGUUGUAGAACGGUAAUUUACUGAUGCAGAAGAAAUCAUUUUUCACUUUAGUGUCUCUUUAAGAAUUUACUAAUCCAAUUUGUAGUCCUGUCAAUUCGAAGUUUACUGUCGUUUGGGUAUCGGACCAAGCCGAUGUCCCCUGGCCUGGGCGGUCCCUGGCGCUUCACCUAGUGGUGGCCUUUGAAAAUAGCAGCGUGGCACCAGUGGUUGCAUCAGGAUCUAGGCUCAUGAAGAUAGACAGCAACGUGCACAGGGCAAGGAGUUCGGUGGCCUGGUACUCGUCACAGUUGUGGAUAACACCAUAGUUUUUGCGAGUCCUAGCCCCUACCUAGGGUACCAGUCUGUGCACUGCGUGUGUGUAUAUAUGUGUGUGUGUGUGUGUGUGUGUGUGUUGUGCAGGAUUGCUCGUUGGCAGCACGUGCUCAUGCAGCCGCUGACGGGCCUUUGAUGUGUUUCGCCCUGGUAGUGCGGUCGUCUUUGUGGUUCUAGAGCUGCGUUGGCAUUGCCCAAGAACAGGAUAUAUCGGCAUGGCGCAGAAUUGCAGAGUGGGGGCGCUCCAUUCUAUUCCCACUUCAUUCCUUCAGAGUUGUGGUUUAUGUGAUUCCAGUCCUUUUGUCGGAGUUCUGACAGUUGAACCAUUCCCACUCCUUGAGUGGUCGAACUAAUCUACUCCAAUCCUCCAAUUACAGUACAUAAAACGCUUUCUGUAUAAUUACUUACUACUUGCGCCCCGAUGCGAUAGCAUAGAGGUAGAGCAUCUGCCUCAUGUGCAAAAGCACUGUGGUUCAAAUCCCGGUGCCACGCAAUUUUCCACUGGAUAAAAAAAAAUCCACAUGUUGAUACAGCUGUAUAAACAGGCCUGGUGGCCUGACCCCGGUGACCAGAACCGGUAAUGCACUCCCUCACCAGAGCAGGAUUGGCCACCUUGGUGCAGUACUUGGCCACAACCUUCUAUAUGAAUAGAACAAUCAAAUCCCGGCCCUCAGUCCCCAGCAGCUACAAAGCAACUGACCAUUGCGGUGGUCAGACCUGUGAUGCAGCAGAGCGUGCUAAGAAUCUCUGGAUCUGGACAGGCUGGUAUUGGAAUCUGAACCUGGCAGUGUUUAACGCUAGAAUGUUUUCUAGUGAGGAGAGUCUAACAGUGCUAUUGGAGGAAUUAGCGGGCAUUAAAUGGGAUAUAAUAGAGCUCAGUGAGGUUGGGAGGACAAAUGAAGCAUAUACAGUGCUAAAAAAGCGGGCACAUGCUGUGCCACCAAGGCUUAGCAGAGAGAUGAGAACUAGGAGUCGGAUUCCUGUUUAAUAAGGAUAUAGCUGGUAACAUACAGGAAUUGUGUAGCAUUAACGAUAGGGUGGCAGGUCUUGCUGUGAAACUUAAUAAGAGGUACAAAUUGAGGUCAUACAGGUCUACACCCGUACAUCUAGUCAUGAUAACCAGGAAGUCGAAAGCUUUUAUGAAGACGUGGAAUUGGCGAUAGGUAAAGUCAAAACAAAAUACACUAUACUGAUGGGCGACUUCAAUGCCAGGGUAGGCAAGAAGCAGGCUGGAGAAAAGUCAGUGGGGGAAUAUGGCAAAGGUUCUAGGAAUAGUAGGGGAGAGUUAUUAGUAGAGUUUGCAGAACGGAAUAAUUUGCGGACAAUGAAUACCUUCUUCCGCAAGCGGGAUAACCGAAAGUGGACGUGGAGGAGCCCUAAUGGCGAGACUAAAAAUGAAAUAGACCUCAUACCCUGUGCUAACCCUGGCAUCAUACAAGAUGUGUACGUGCUCGGCAAGGUGCGCUGCAGUGACCAUAGGAUGGUAAGAUCUCGAAUUAGCCUAGACUUGAGGAGGGAAUGGAAAAAACUGGUACAUAAGAAGCCGAUCAAUUAGUUAGCGGUAAGAGGGAAAAUAGAGGAAUUUCGGAUCAAGCUACAGAAGAGGUAUAGGGCUUUAACUCGGGAAGAGAACCUUAGGGUUGAAGCAAUGAACGAAAAUCUUAUGGGCAUCAUUAAGGAGUGUGCAAUAGAAGUAGGUUGUAACUUCGUUAGACAGGAUACCAGUAAGCUAUCGCAGGAGACGAAAGAUGUCAUUUUAAUACCACACCUUAUACAUAGCUUUCAUUGAUUACAAGAAAGUGUUUGAUUCAGUCAAAACCUCAGCAGUCAUGCAGGCAUUAUGGAAUUGGGGUGUAGACGAGCCAUAUGUAAAAAUACUGAAAGAUAUCUACAGCGGCUCCACAGCCACCGUAGUCCUUCAUAAAGAAAGCAACAAAAUCCCAAUAAAGAAGGGUGUCAGGCAGGAAGAUACGAACUCUCCAAUGCUAUUCACAGCAUGUUUACAGGAGGUAUUCAGAGACCUGGAUUGGGAAGAAUUGGGGAUAAGAGUUAAUGGAGAAUACCUUAGUUACUUGCGAUUCGCUGAUGAUAUUGCCUUGCUUAGUAACUCAGGGGACCAAUUGCAAUGCAUGCUCACUGACCCAGAGAGGCAAAGCAGAAUGGUAGGUCUGAAAAUUAAUCUGCAGAAAACUAAAGUAAUUUUUAACAGUCUCGGAAGAGAACAGCAGUUUACGAUAGGUAGCGAGGCACUGGAAGUGGUAAGGGAAUACAUCUACUUAGGGCAGGCAGUGACCGCGAGUCCAGAUCAUGAGACUAAAAUAAUCAGAAGAAUAAGAAUAGGCUGGGGUGCGUUUGGCAGGCAUUCUCAGAUCAUGAACAGCAGGUUGCCAUUAUCCCUGAAGAGAAAAGUGUAUAACUGGUGUGUCUUACCAGUACUCACCUACGGCGCAGAAACCUGGAGGCUUAUAAAAAGGGUUCUACUUAAACUGAGGACGACACAUCGAGCUAUGGAAAGAAGAAUGAUGGGUGUAACGUUAAGGGGAUAAGAUGAGAGCAGAUUGGGUGAGGGAACAAACGCGAGGUAUUGAUAUCUUACUUGAAAUCAAGAAAAAUCGGCAUGGGCAGGGCAUGUAAUGAGGAGGGAAGAUAACCGAUGGUCAUUAAGGGUUAUGGACUGGAUUCCAAGAGAGGGGAAGCGUAGCAGGGGGCGGCAGAAAGUUAGGUGGAUGGAUGAGAUUAAGAAGUUUGCAGGGUCAGCAUGGCCACAAUUAGUGCAUGACCGGGGUAGUUGCUGUUUAUUCAAGCAUUUUGCAAAUGUGGCUCACUUUUACGCACCCCUUCUUAUGUCUAAAAAAAAACAGAAAUGAACAUCCAGUAUUCUUUUUUAACUUUCACUAAGCUUAUCGUAUAGCUCAGUGUUAACAUAUAGGUCAACAUACAGUAUUUACAGGUGAGGUUACAGAAAGCAGUAAUAAUUGACAGUAAACACUGCUUGGAUGAUGAAAAACAUGGGAAUCAGGUCAUCUUAUUUCCGACAAUUUUUUUUGGCAUAGGAGGCUUAACAAAUGGUGAUGUAGCAACACUGUAAAGACUGAAUAAGAUGGAUGUGGAAUGCCUUGAUGACUUCUCUUUCUGUUUUUUAUUUUGCCUUCGAAAGGAAUUUAUUCUGUUCCAGAUAAGGGAGGCAGCUUUUGCAUCGGCAACAGAACAUCAGUGGAUGUUGUGUGAAGCACUUUUUCCAUGCUUUUUUCACUACCUGAGCAAGGUAACUUUCUUGGUGCUUCAUCACGCAAUUUAUACAAUCAACUUCCAUUAAUUCUACCCUCACGAGACUGACGGGUCGAAUUAAGAUGCAAAAACCUGCUGAAGCACCGUUGAUUCAUUCGGCAAUAUGUGCUUGAGUAACACGCCUCUGAAACGAACGUGCAUCAAAUUUCUAUUUGUCCACAGUAUAAAACUAAAGUAGAAAUGACUUAACUCCAAACCAAAGUAGAAACCUACAUGUACCUCAUUUUUUAGAAUGGCAGCUGAUUUUCUAAAGCGAGCUUCGCCGUAUUACAGCCAUGAUAUGUGGUAAAGCAUACGAAUGCUACAACCACGGUUUUAGUUUCGCAAUCGAUUGCACAGCUAGACAAUUUUCGUCUCAAUGUCCUUCUAAAACAAAAAGUGUUCAUUAGAAUCAGAUAAGUACCACAAACGGACAUUGUCAGCUACCGUUACUCCUUGAAAAUCUUUUUCGGGUGGGUCAAAAAUAGGCAUUUCAGAGAGGAGAUGGCAUUUGUUUAACGCAUUCACUGUCCCCUAAGCUCUACUGAGACAUGCGCUGCCACUAAAAGGGGUCAUUAUUGGGGUCUGGUCAAGUUCGCAUUAUCCGGCGCAUGCCAGUUUUAGGAUCGAAAUGAUGAAUGUUUAAUCCCAUAGAAAUGCAUGGGCGUCGGCCAGGUUCGAAUUAACUGAAAAAAUUAAAUUAACGUAGUCAGAUUAUUGGAAGUUUACUAUACACCCUUUUCUGUUCUCCAAGAAGUUGCCAUUUUAAUAUGUAGUUUUCUUCUAUCAGUGUGGCAAUGGUGCUAAAUUUAGCAUUUGUUUGAAUCAUCCAUUGUUCCAAGGACAAGCUACAAAGUAGGGGCACACUUUGAGACUUGAAACAUUUCCACAUAUAAAGGAAGGGCAUGUUAACAUCUGUACAAUUAACAUAAGUUGGCUGUAUUGUCUGCAUAUAUAUGCAUGUGGUUGCUUUUUUGGAAUGUGGUCUUUCUGUAAAACAAAGUUGCAUUUGUUUCAAAUAAAUUGCUGAACCAUUGCUUGUGUGUUUUCCUGUGCUCUCUGUGCUGAUUGCGCUUUUGAAAGUGCAGUGAGCAACUGCAGACUGAAAUGCACAAGGCUUCACUUUAUCAUGCCAGGAAGCAUUUUGGCUUGACAAAGGAGCCUUAACCCCUUCCAUGCACACACUUUUUUUUUUGUAUAAACACAUCAAAUGAAAGACAGUGACCUCUUCUCAUGUAUUUUAAAGCCUGGCAGUGUUAAAGACAGAGUGAAGUUGUACAAAUACAAUUUACUGUUAAGUAUUGCUGCUAAAACCUCAUGCUUGUGUAUAGUAUAUGCAUGCAGUGCUGGCUAUGCCGUGGUAGAGCCGUGAAACAGCUUUCACCACACUGCUUGCUAUAGCAUUGCUGUGUUCUGCAACCUGAGGUCAAAACUAUAAAUCUCUAGAAGUUCAGCAGCACAAUUGACAGCUAUUUCCGUAUGUUCGAUGCACUCCUGGCCAGGGACUUUUCGUCCUGUAGGCAAAAUAGAUGGCUGCCUCGGACGCUGUUUUGGAAAGAGCGCAGCAUACCUCGAAAGCUUGCUCACAAUGCUUCACCAGCAGGUUUUGCCAGCGAGAGUGGAGGGGGGCACAAUAAUUUGACUUUACAUGGUGCGGCACAAUACCUUAAAAUGCUGCUGCUUCUGGCUUCCAUUUAACUAUGACCUGCUGGUGCACCUCAACAUGGAGCAACCCCAUUUCACUAAAAUUCUUAAUUCUUCUACCAACAUGGUGUGGUGUGGCUAUCUA
Long non-coding RNA from Dermacentor albipictus, 6568 nucleotides. RefSeq lists it as uncharacterized. The record is from RefSeq and is a predicted model, not a curated record. Lineage: Eukaryota; Metazoa; Arthropoda; Arachnida; Ixodida; Ixodidae.